CCUCUCGCCAUAUAUGAGAGGUCCAGCCUGCCCAGUGACUAAGUUCAACGGCCGCGGUAUCCUAACCGUGCGAAGGUAGCGUAAUCACUUGUUUUUUAAAUGAAGACUAGUAUGAAUGGCACCACGAGGGUUAUACUGUCUCCUUUUUUUAAUCAAUGAAACUGAUCUCCCCGUGAAGAAGCGGGGAUAUUAUUAUAAGACGAGAAGACCCUAUGGAGCUUUAAACAAUUAUAGCACUGGCCCACACUUCUUACUCUCCCGAGACAUAAUUAUUAUACAAGCCAACAUGACUAUUAGUUUUAGGUUGGGGUGACCGCGGAGCAAAAACCAACCUCCACGUUGAACCGGAGCUAUUCCUGAGCCAAAAGCUACAACUUUAAGCACCAAUAAACUGACAUCAAUUGACCCAACAUGUUGAGCAACGAACCAAGUUACCCUAGGGAUAACAGCGCAAUCCAUUUCAAGAGCUCCUAUCGACAAAUGGGUUUACGACCUCGAUGUUGGAUCAGGGUAUCCCAGUGGUGCAGCCGCUACUAAAGGUUCGUUUGUUCAACGAUUAAAACCCU
Molecule: ribosomal RNA, 566 nt
Filed under: Dendropsophus elianeae
Lineage: Eukaryota; Metazoa; Chordata; Amphibia; Anura; Hylidae
Description: partial large subunit ribosomal RNA
Rfam family: Bacterial large subunit ribosomal RNA
Source: RNAcentral